Non-coding RNA from Acanthosepion pharaonis, 112 nucleotides. The record is from the annotation of a GenBank genome assembly. NCBI's taxonomy places the organism in Eukaryota, Metazoa, Mollusca, Cephalopoda, Sepiida, Sepiidae.
UACGACCACAUCAUACUGAAACACCGGUUCCCAUACGAUUACUGAAGUUAAGCAAUAUCAAGCUUGGUCAGUACCUAGAUGGGUGCCCGCUUGAGAGUACCAGGUGCAGUAA